CCUACGGGAGGCAGCAGUAGGGAAUUUUCGUCAAUGGGCGCAAGCCUGAACGAGCAAUGCCGCGUGAACGAGGAAGAUCUUCGGAUCGUAAAGUUCUAUUGAAAGGGAAAAAGAACGGAGAGAGUAAAUGCUUUCUGAUUGAUAUUACCCUUCGAGGAAGUCACGGCUAACUCCGUCCCAGCAGCCGCGGUAAUACGUCGGUGCCGAGCGUGAUCCGAAAUGAUUGGGCGUAAGGGGUGCGUAGGGGGCAUGCUAAGUCGGGCGUGAAAGGUACCGGAGCAACCGGGACAGGCUCUGGAAACUGGCGGGCUAGAGAGCAGGAGAGGGCGGUGGAACUCCAUGUGUAGCGGUAAAAUGCGUAGAUAUAUGGAAGAACACCAGUGGCGAAGGCGGCCGCCUGGACUGUUACUGACGCUGAGGCACGAAAGCGUGGGGAGCAAAUAGGAUUAGAUACCCGUGUAGUC
Molecule: ribosomal RNA, 464 nt
Filed under: uncultured bacterium
Lineage: Bacteria
Description: partial 16S ribosomal RNA
Rfam family: Bacterial small subunit ribosomal RNA
Source: RNAcentral